AUCACCUGGAGAUCCUGUGAAGGCACCGAUUGGAUUCAGUCAGUAGGCCUUGGUCUGAGAUUCUGCCUUUCUAACAAGCUCCCAAGAGAUGCCAGU
This 96-nucleotide microRNA precursor is filed under the name Tupaia belangeri (northern tree shrew). RNAcentral's name for it is "miRNA (ENSTBEG00000020881.1)". Lineage: Eukaryota; Metazoa; Chordata; Mammalia; Scandentia; Tupaiidae. The record is from RNAcentral.